RNAcentral lists this ribosomal RNA (712 nucleotides) under Linnemannia elongata. Its description in RNAcentral is "eukaryotic LSU rRNA". It matches the Rfam family "Eukaryotic large subunit ribosomal RNA", at positions 88 to 654 of the family's 3401-position model. The record is from RNAcentral. Lineage: Eukaryota; Fungi; Mortierellomycota; Mortierellomycetes; Mortierellales; Mortierellaceae.
AGUGAAGUGAGCGGGAUGAGCUUCAAAUUUAAAAUCUGGCUGGUUUACUAGUCCGAAUUCGUAGUUUAUAGAAGCGUUUUCGGUGGCAGCCUGGGUAUAAAUCCUUUGGAAUAGGGUAUCAUAGAGGGUGAGAAUCCCGUCUUUGACUCAGUGCAUGCUACUAUGUGAUACGUUUUCAAAGAGUCGAGUUGUUUGGGAAUGCAGCUCAAAAUGGGUGGUAAAUUUCAUCUAAAGCUAAAUAUUGGCGAGAGACCGAUAGCGAACAAGUACCGUGAGGGAAAGAUGAAAAGAACUUUGAAAAGAGAGUUAAACAGUGCGUGAAAUUGUUGAAAGGGAAACGUUUGACACCAGUUAUGCGGGUGGAAAAUCAGUCUUUUGCAAUGGGGAGUUGUGGGCGUUCAGACCGCAAGGCUGGCGUUUGCUUCAUCUUUGUUGUAAGUGAUGCACUUUUUCAUUUGCAGGUCAACAUCAGUUUGCUUUGCUGGACAAAACCCCAAGGGAAGGUGGCAGCUUAGGCUGUGUUAUAGCCCUGGGGCGAUACAGUGGAGUGGACUGAGGUUUCGCAGUGUGUGCUCUCGGGCAAGGCUGACUGGGUGCUAUGGGAUCGUUCGGCGUACAAUGCAUGCAUUUUGCGUCGUGUCUUUUUUAUACUCGCUCAACUCGGCUCUUCCACACUUAGGAUGUUGACUUAAUGGUUUUAAACGACCCGUCU